CCUACGGGAGGCAGCAGUAAGGAAUAUUGGUCAAUGGGCGCAAGCCUGAACCAGCCAUGCCGCGUGCAGGAAGACGGCCCUAUGGGUUGUAAACUGCUUUUGAACAAGAGAAAACCUCGGUACGUGUACCGAGCUGAUAGUAUUGUUAGAAUAAGCAUCGGCUAACUUCGUGCCAGCAGCCGCGGUAAGACGAAGGAUGCAAGCGUUAUCCGGAUUCAUUGGGUUUAAAGGGUGCGUAGGCGGCCUGAUAAGUCAGUGGUGAAAUCUCUCAGCUUAACUGAGAAACUGCCAUUGAUACUGUCGGGCUUGAGUACAGAUGAUGUGGGCGGAAUAUGACAUGUAGUGGUGAAAUACUUAGAUAUGUCAUAGAACACCGAUUGCGAAGGCAGCUCACAAAACUGUAACUGACGCUGAGGCACGAAAGUGCGGGGAUCAAACAGGAUUAGAUACCCUGGUAGUCCGCACCGUAAACGAUGAUUACUCGUUGUUGGCAAUAUGACCGUCAGCGACCAAGCGAAAGCGAUAAGAAUCCACCUGGGGAGUACGCCGGCAACGGUGAAACUUAGAAAGUAGUAGACGNGNGAGAGCGACGACGACGACACGGAGGGAGGAG
Molecule: ribosomal RNA, 613 nt
Filed under: uncultured bacterium
Lineage: Bacteria
Description: bacterial SSU rRNA
Rfam family: Bacterial small subunit ribosomal RNA
Source: RNAcentral